This 253-nucleotide ribosomal RNA is filed under the name uncultured bacterium. RNAcentral's name for it is "partial 16S ribosomal RNA". It matches the Rfam family "Bacterial small subunit ribosomal RNA", at positions 524 to 776 of the family's 1533-position model. The record is from RNAcentral.
GACAGAGGUCCCGAGCGUUGUUCGGAUUCACUGGGCGUAAAGGGUGCGCAGGUGGGUUGGCAAGUUUGAUGCGAAAGCCCCGGGCUUAACCCGGGAAUGGCAUUGAAUACUGCUGAUCUGGAGGAUUGGAGGGGGGACUGGAAUUCUUGGUGUAGCAGUGAAAUGCGUAGAUAUCAAGAGGAACACCAGUGGCGAAGGCGAGUCCCUGGACAAUACCUGACACUGAGGCACGAAAGCCAAGGGAGCAAACAGG